AGCAGUCGCCGCGGGAAUACGUAGGUGGCAAGCGUUGUCCGGAAUUAUUGGGCGUAAAGGGCUCGCAGGCGGUUUCUUAAGUCUGAUGUGAAAGCCCCCGGCUCAACCGGGGAGGGUCAUUGGAAACUGGAAACUUGAGUGCAGAAGAGGAGAGUGGAAUUCCACGUGUAGCGGUGAAAUGCGUAGAGAUGUGGAGGAACACCAGUGGCGAAGGCGACUCUCUGGUCUGUAACUGACGCUGAGGAGCGAAAGCGUGGGGAGCGAACAGGAUUAGAUACCCCUGUAGUCCCUGUCUCUUAUACC
This 303-nucleotide ribosomal RNA is filed under the name uncultured bacterium. RNAcentral's name for it is "partial 16S ribosomal RNA". It matches the Rfam family "Bacterial small subunit ribosomal RNA", at positions 507 to 808 of the family's 1533-position model. The record is from RNAcentral.